AGUACAGAGAGAUGGAUGAGAGUCUUGCAAACCUGUCAGAAGAUGAGUAUUACUCUGAAGAAGAGAGAAAUGCUAAAGCUGAGAAAGAGAAAAAACUACCACCACCACCUCCACCAGCUCCUGCAGAAGAAGAGAAUGAAAGCGAGCCAGAGGAGCCAUCUGGGCAAGCAGGAGGACUUCAAGACGACAAUUCUGGAGGGUAUGGAGACGGCCAAGCAUCAGGUGUGGAGGGUGCAGCUUUCCAGAGUAGACUUCCACAUGACCGUAUGACAUCUCAAGAAGCUGCCUGCUUCCCUGAUAUAAUCAGUGGGCCACAGCAGACUCAGAAGGUGUUUCUGUACAUCAGGAACCGCACUCUGCAGCUGUGGUUGGAUAACCCAAAGAUUCAGUUGACAUUUGAAGCAACUAUCCAACAAUUAGAAGCACCUUAUAAUAGUGAUACAGUGCUUGUUCACAGAGUACACAGCUAUCUGGAGCGGCACGGUCUAAUCAACUUUGGUAUCUACAAGAGAGUGAAGCCCCUUCCAACCAAGAAGACUGGAAAGGUGAUCAUUAUUGGUUCUGGAGUCUCUGGGUUGGCAGCAGCUCGCCAGUUGCAGAGUUUUGGAAUGGAUGUCACAGUUCUGGAAGCCAGGGACCGAGUAGGAGGAAGAGUUGCUACCUUUCGCAAAGGGAACUACGUUGCUGAUCUAGGAGCAAUGGUGGUAACAGGACUUGGAGGAAAUCCCAUGGCUGUGGUCAGUAAACAAGUGAAUAUGGAAUUGGCUAAGAUCAAACAAAAAUGCCCACUUUAUGAAGCAAAUGGACAAGCUGUUCCAAAAGAGAAAGAUGAAAUGGUGGAGCAAGAAUUUAAUCGUCUGCUAGAAGCCACUUCCUAUCUCAGUCAUCAGCUGGAUUUUAAUGUUCUCAAUAAUAAGCCUGUCUCCCUAGGUCAGGCUCUGGAGGUUGUCAUACAAUUGCAGGAGAAGCAUGUGAAGGAUGAGCAGAUUGAACACUGGAAAAAAAUUGUGAAAACGCAGGAGGAAUUGAAAGAUCUUCUUAACAAGAUGGUGAAUUUAAAAGAGAAGAUUAAAGAACUUCAUCAACAGUAUAAGGAAGCAUCAGAAGUGAAGCCACCACGGGAUAUUACAGCAGAGUUCCUUGUGAAAAGCAAACACAGAGAUCUGACUGCACUUUGCAAGGAGUACGAUGAAUUGGCAGAGACACAAGGAAAGCUGGAAGAGAAGUUACAAGAACUUGAAGCCAAUCCUCCAAGUGAUGUUUAUCUGUCAUCAAGAGACAGACAAAUACUCGACUGGCAUUUUGCAAACCUGGAAUUUGCUAAUGCUACACCCCUCUCUACGCUUUCACUAAAGCACUGGGACCAGGAUGAUGACUUUGAAUUCACAGGCAGUCACUUGACUGUGAGGAAUGGAUAUUCCUGUGUGCCUGUAGCCUUGGCAGAAGGGCUGGACAUUAAAUUAAACACAGCAGUUCGUCAGGUUCGCUAUACAGCAUCAGGCUGUGAAGUGAUAGCUGUAAAUACACGAUCUACUAGCCAGACUUUCAUUUACAAAUGUGAUGCUGUGCUGUGUACUCUUCCCUUGGGAGUAUUGAAACAGCAGCCUCCAGCAGUACAGUUUGUGCCGCCUCUUCCUGAGUGGAAAACUUCUGCAGUGCAGCGUAUGGGAUUUGGCAACCUUAACAAGGUUGUGUUGUGUUUUGAUCGCGUCUUCUGGGAUCCAAGUGUCAAUUUGUUUGGUCAUGUUGGUAGCACUACUGCAAGCAGAGGAGAACUUUUCCUGUUUUGGAACCUGUACAAAGCACCAAUUUUGUUGGCCUUGGUAGCAGGAGAAGCGGCAGGGAUCAUGGAGAAUAUCAGUGAUGAUGUCAUUGUUGGACGGUGCCUUGCCAUCCUCAAAGGCAUAUUUGGUAGCAGUGCUGUGCCACAGCCUAAAGAGACUGUGGUGUCCCGCUGGCGUGCUGACCCAUGGGCCCGGGGUUCAUACUCCUAUGUAGCAGCUGGAUCUUCUGGAAAUGACUAUGAUUUGAUGGCUCAGCCAAUUACUCCAGGGCCAGCCAUUCCAGGUGCUCCUCAGCCUAUUCCUCGCCUCUUUUUUGCGGGAGAACAUACAAUUCGCAACUACCCUGCAACUGUUCAUGGUGCUUUACUGAGUGGACUGAGAGAAGCUGGCCGCAUUGCAGACCAAUUUCUUGGGGCCAUGUAUACUUUGCCUCGCCAGCCUACGCCUGGGGUCCCCCCACAACAAGCUACCAGCAUGUAAGAGAAGUAGAAGGUAUCAGAAGAGGAGCAAUAAGACCACAGUGCUGCUAUUUGGGAUGAAGAUCUUCACAUAGUCUGUAACAGGAUCUGCUGAAAGGACUCAGCCAUGACUUGCUGUAUAAUACUUCCAUUAGAAUGGCCUUACAAAAAAUUACUAACCUUUGGCUUAGCAUCCUUUUACAAAAAUCUCUUGUAGCUGUUUGAAGUGUCAGUGUAAAUAGAAUCCUUUCCUACCAAGCUGGUCAGGGACUUUUUUGACUCUGCAGAUAUUUUUUGAAAGUCGAGCUUGUAGCUAGAGAUUUUUUAGGGGUUUUUUUUUCUACCUAUACAUGUAUUUACAAUUCAGUAAUUGCACAAGGCCCUCUAGAAGCUCAUUGCUAUGAAUAGUAGCUUAGUGUAGAAUUUAUGUAAACUUCUUUGUUGUUUUUUUUUUUUAUUGUUUUGUUUUGAAGAAUAAUAUUUUUUGACCAAUUCUAUUCUUAUCUGGCAUUUGAGAAUUUGGUGCAACUGUUUCCCUACCGGUAACAGCAAAUCACACCCCUCCAAAAUGGUCCAUUGGCUGCUACAAUAUAUGCAUCCUGUUUUAGAAAGAAAGCUGGUAUUACUAAGAGUGUGCUAAGCAUACUGUUUUAUUAAAUACUUUCAACCAGAAAAAAUCAUCAGAACUGGAUAUUUUUAAGUUUAAAAACUAGAAAUAUUAUUUGUAUUUGUUUAUAUAGAAACAGAGUUAUCUAGACAGUAAGUUAGCUGAAGGACCUGAUCUCUUGACUUCUGCGUGCUGCAGGUGGGCGCUCUGUGUACCUGUUGAUUUAAUUUCUGCUAGGUUGAUGAGAUGAUGUCGCAGCUGCUGUUAUUAUGCUUCUGAAGACCAUUUUGGUUUGGCUGCUUUUCCAAAUAUUUUCCUUAUUAAUUCAGUGCAUACAGCCUUCCUUUCAUUGCACAGAGCAGUCUUAUUUAAACAUUUAGAUCCUGUUUCCCUCUCCAUCUUUCCCCAUUUAGCAUUAGAUUUUUCUUAUUUCUUCCAACUUCUCUCAUCCUCUUCUUUCUACAGUUUAUUUCUAGCUCAUCUAACCACAGUCUCUGUUCACACUUUUUUCUGCUUUUCAGUUUUUAUGUUCUCACUUUCUCUGACCCCGUGUCUGUACAUGUGCAGUCUGUCCCAACUCCAUCCUGUCCUUGCACCUUCUGUUCUGCUAGAGGACCAACAUUUCCUCUUGUUCCAUACUCAUCCCUCUACAGCUACACUGCCCACACUUCUUGCUGAAGCACACACACACACAAACACACAGCCCCUACUUGUUUAUAGCUGUAUUGUCUUUGGCCAUGGACUCUCCAUCUUCCAGCAUCAUUGCUUCUACUGUUUCCUUGUGUCUCUUUCUUAGCAGCUGGAGAUCCUUUUUCCCCUGACUAUGACUGUUACCUUCUUGUUGCUUUCUCAUUAGAUACUGAAGUCCACGAGGGGGCAUCGCCAUAGGCAGCCUUUCUGACAAGCCAUGAGAAAGGGGAGGACUCUGAUGUGAUGGGGGCAAGAGUCUGUGAGUGGGCACAGACUUGAAGUGUCAAGGACCAAGCUCAUUUGAAGUGGCUAAAUUUGGUGCCACGGGGAACUCUCUUUCCCAAACCUCUGUUUAAAUUAGUGCUACCUCCCCCGUAUCUCUAACUUUGCAAACAUCGUUGCUACUUGGGCCCUUUCUUGAAAGGGGUACUCCUCAGCAACACUACUCAUCCUCACUUUCCCUUCUGGGAGACAAGACAGACUUUGUGAUGGUUGGUCAGAAAACUGCCACUGAAGUGGGGCACAAAUUGGAAGUACAGCAGGGCAUGGAGGAGGGGUGUCCAGGAGGUAACUGAGAGUAAAUGGAGAGUAAUUGGAGACUCAAGACUCCCUGCCUUAUGUUCAGGUAAAAGCCUGUCAGCACCACUGCCCAGAGAAAUCCUGUUCCAGGAUGAGAGGUGUGACAGGCCUUUAAAAAUCCACCAACAGCUGAUCUGAUCUCUUGGCUAGUCUGACCGGGGAUGGAAGAGGAUCUGCAAAUCGGGGUGCUGUGUUCUGUAACCAGGCUUCCAGAGUCUGUAGGUCUCCAUGUUUGUGGGGUGGUUUGCUGUUGGGAUUAGUGAUGGGUGCUGUCUCUCCCCAUGAGGACUUGCUCUAGCAAAGUGUCAAAAACUCAUAAAAGUGCUUCUGGCCCACUGGAAAAUAAAAUAGUCCUCAAUGGUGUCUUUUCCAGACAAAUAUCAAGCCACUUCUGCAUCAGCCUAUUAAUGUUAUUUUCAGCUGCUUUGUUCUACUUUGUGCUGACUGAGAUUUAGCAGACUCUUCAGGCAGCUAAUCCUGUCAAACAACAUGCAGUCAAGACAUUCAAAUGUAAACAAACUUCAUUUUGCACGUUGCCAUUGGUUUGACUGAGUGGGGCUAAUCUUACACCUGAUGACCAGACUAUCCUGUUUCCCCUUUUCAAAAAGACAUCUGAAAACCAUGGUGACCACUGAAAUAAGAAGGUGGAGAUGAAGACCUGACAGUUCCCAUCAAUUUUGAAGGUGUGCAAGGAAUUGGUGGGUGUUAGCUGAUGGCGGUGAUGGGCACGAGCAAAGGAAUGGGAAUGCCAGGAGGAGAUGAGGAGGCCUUGUGACUUGAUGUAGUCUGUUCACUGCUUUCAGAGUCUUCACUGGAAGGUGAAGACCAUGAUCUGUGGCCUGCUGCACCCUGCCCUGUCUCUUAUCUCUGGGGACUCUGGACCUAUUCCUCAGCCAGUCCCUGCUAACAAGCCCUAGUAGGUGUUGGAGAGCGAACAGCUCAGAGUACGUUCAGCUCUUCAGGGUGUUUGAGGCUCAGCAAAGAUGCAGAAAAUUGCUGGGCACAUUGGAGCUCCUGUGCUGCAGUUCCUGCCCUGCAUAGCCCAGUUUCUCAGGGCAUUGGUUGCACCCUAAGCAGAGGGGAGCAGUGGUUGGGUGGAGGUCAAAGACUGCUCCCUUUAUUCUGGUUGUAUCCUGUGGAACUUCUGGGAUGGAGGAGGCUGCACUGUCACCCCAAGGCCAGACGGAGCUUGCAGACCUGGAAAAGGUGGCCUGAGCACAUAGUGAUGAGUCAUCUUAGUGUUGGGGUUCAGCUCUGCCAGGCCACAUGGUGAAACUUCCAUUGUUUAUCCAGGUCUCAUGCUCUUUGCAGCACUGCCUGUGUGUGAUACUCCUCAAGCAGGCAGUCUCCCAGCAGUUAGCAACUCUUGUUCUGCUGCUUCUGUCAUCCCAGGGGUGCCUUCUGAUGUGCCUCAAAUGGUGGCUCUGAGUCCAGACUAUCAAUGUAUGUGUUUAGGAGCAUAUUGUUCUCUGCUCCCUGGGCAGAGAACUCUCUUAGCUGGACCUUUGGUUUGUCCCAUAAUGGCUAGUCCUGCUUCAGUGCUGCCUGUGCUGCCUUCCUACCUCUUGUGAUCUACUAAGGAGGAGAUGGCAUUGUAACUAAAUAGGUCACCAGGUGCUCUCCACCUCUGCAUCCUUCCUCAUGGUGUAGCCAUUCUUCCCCUUCUUGCUGUUUGCUUGCCCUGGCUCCCCUGCGGGGGUUGCCUGAUCUGUUUCAGUGAGUUGUGGAUGACCUUUAUCAUGGAUUUGAGGCUGCUGGGCACAGUCACAAAACCUAGUGAUGAGUGGUUGCACCCUCUGUUGCAUACCCUUCCACCCAUUCUCAGGGACUUGCCACUUCUUACUCACUCCAUGGGUAGGUGAAUUGCAUUUCUGACAACAAAACUGAUUGGUGCCCAUUUUGGAAAGAAAAACACUCUUCCCUAGUUGGACCUCCCUUUCUGUACUGAAGGACCCCAGUAACCUCCCAUGGGGUUCUGAAUCGUGAGUGAAUGCAUGCAUUCGCCAGUCAGGUAGUAAUUUUGGAUGGGAUGAAUCUGCAGGAAGAUUUGUAUUUGUCAGUUCUCCAGAUGCCGCUGUUUUUGUCAGGUGCUAGCAUCUACUUUGUAAUAAACUACUGUUAGCUCAGGGUCUUUGUGUUCAGUCUUUGUAUGGAACUGAGAAUAUUUACUAUGGUCUUGCCUGUAGUGGAAAUUAACUGCAAAGGUUCUCCCUGUUUUGUUAUAUUGCUAAUUGACUGGAUCAUAAACCUAGAGGAAAAACUUCACUGGGAGCUUCAGUUUCUUUUUUUAUUGUCAGUGUUUUCACCUGACUAGGACUCUUGCUGUAUUUCUGAAAAAGUUCAGCUGAAGGAACAAUGGUGCUCAGAGCUCAUCUUGCAGUCUUUAAGCUUAAGUGGCUGCAUAAAGUGAGGUGACUAAACUUAACUGAUUUGUAUACUUCAGAUUCCUUUUAAUGGUGGUGAUAAUUCCAUGAGUUACUUUUCCUAAAAAUGUUUACCAGAAGAGAACUGGAUCUCAUGGCCUGGCUUGUUUUCAAGUUUGCUGCUUUUGCCAAUGAUUUUUUGCAGUUUACAACAUGUUUAAUUUCUGAAGGUGCAAUGUUUUGUUCAUUUGGAAGGAAUAUUGAAACUUAGAGGAAAUGCUUUCCACUGACGUUCUUCCCCAAAGCAUACAGAUAUUGCAGAACCAUUGGCACGCUUCCAGACCUUGUGUUCUGGGUGUUACCAGAGAUAAAUACCCAAAACCCCCCACAAGAGGUCACCUUUAGAAUGUCAGUGGAGAGUGAAAGCCUCCCUUUAAUUACCUGUGCAUAUCAGUCAUGGAGUUUGACAUAUGCAAAGAAAAAUUGUCUUCAAUUUUUUUCCAGCUUCAACAAUUUGUCUGCUAAAAGCUGUUAUUUCUCUACAAAAUCUGUUGGCUCGUAUUAGCAAAGCAGGGUUUGUGGAGUGCUUCCAGGUGCUAACAGGCAUCAAAUCAAUGUGGUGUUUAGAAAUUCCCUGGAAAACAUCAAUCCUAGAGACUGAGAAAUGCAGUAAAAUGCCUGAUGCAUUCCUGACAUGAAUAUUUGCAGCCCAGGCUUCGCAGGCCUGCACUUCUGCGUGUGCAGCUUCAUCACUGCACAUUCUUACACAUGCACGUAGAUAGAGGGCACAGUAGCUGACCAAAUUCUUUAUCACAUAUGGUUCUUCCCCAUUUCCAGCCAACCAAAGACCAUGGUGAUGUGGCACUUGGAGCCUUUCAGUCAUGCAAAGUGUGACUGCACUUCAAAGAAACACAAAGCACCGACAUUUGUGCUGUAGCUGUAGGCUCAGCCUUUCUGUGUCGCACCUGAUGAACUUAUGGUAAGGAUGGCCGACAUCUAGGCUGGCCUUGCUUCAAUGAUAUUGAUAAUGGGUCUGUUCUUGCACUGAUAGAAUAAUUUUUGGUUUCUCAUGCAAAUAUUGCCUGGUUUAGUACAUGCUUCAUAAAAUAGCAAAAAAAUAGCAGCAGGGUGACUUGUUCACAGCUACUGAGCUGAAGAAAUUGCUUGCCAUGUUCACACUAUAUCAAAGUAUAUCAGUUGCACAAGUGCAAACUUCAGACCACUGCCAAAUAAAGAUGUACGAAGGCAUUGCAUGGAAGAUUUUGUAGACAGAAUAGAUAAUCUUUGAAAUGCCUACUGAUGGUGGGGUUUCUCUCUACUAACCUCAUAACUUUCCUCUGCACUAGUUGUCUUGACGUCUUCCAGCCAUGCUUCUCUCUGUCCAAAUAGUUUCGGGACCUUUGAAUCUGUUCAUUAGGGCUUUGAGUUCUGGUAACACAGGACCUACAUCCAAAUCUUUCUUAAUAAUACGUGGCCAAAUGUGCCAUGCUCACAGACUUCCGGUACUGUUAGUGCAGUGAUAUAUUGCCAGCUCAAGGGCCUUCUGGAAAUGGUUUCAAUUUACCACUUCUGUGUUCCAGAUCCAGCUCUUGGCUUUCCAUUCUCACAAAAACUGCUUCGGAUAUGUCCUUUGCUUGGGGAUCUGCUGUCUCAUGGGGCCAAAAAUUUGGAUCUCUGUUUUAUUAAAUUCUUUGUUGGUCCCCAUCAGUGUAGCGUUAAUUACACCUCUCCAUGAAGGGGCUUCUGCUCACUGUUGUUCUGUUUUCUUUUCUAGACACUGUAUCACUGCACCCCAAUAACUUUAAGGCUUUCACUUCAACAAGGGUAGAUAACCUAUUUUUCAGACUUCAUGCUUGAAAGACACAGAUAUCUUGGCCUGCCAACCCAGCCUGGAUGAUAAAGUAUCUUUUCCAUGUAUGGGUUUGUGCCUUUCAGAAGCUCCUGAAUACAUUACCUUGCUUGUGGAGAGGUCCUAGGUGUGUGUCUCCACAGAGACCGUCUGUUUGGAUAGCAACUUAUUUUAGAUUGCAGUUAUCUGAGUGUAGCCCCUGGCUGUAAGCACCUCAUGGCAGUGCACUGCAGGCCCUGGCAGUGGUGCAGUGUGCGUCCAUCCUUCCCCACGGCUUCUGCAGUGUUCUCUCUUCAUACCUGCAUCAAAUGCUGCUCCCCUGCUUGAGCAUCCAGCAAUUAGUGCUAGACUUUGCAAACGGUGAAAUUCCCAUUUGCUUUGCUUCCAAGCCACCCCUGCCUAGCUGCACCCAUGUGGAAUUGUGUUCGAAGUUGUCCGAAGUCAGAACAGACGUGUGGACCACAGCCACAUGAAAAUGGAAAUUACUUGCCUAGGUGCUGUACAACAGACAUGCUCCAUGUACUCAGUACUUCUCUUUCUUCCUCAUAGUCCCGCAUAACUUUUUUCCAGAUUUUUUGUUAAGCCUUGUGUGGUCACGGCUUAACACAUGGGGAGGUUAAAGUCUCAGCCAUGAUCCACUGUUACAGGACAAGAAGUGUGUCUGAUCUCAAGUUCUUGGGCCGAGUUACUGGAGUUUGGACAACAUACUCCUGUCCUCAGUAACUUCUCCUGGCUCACAGAAUCGUAUCCUCACUUCUGAUUAACAAGUAAAGCUUGUCAAACUGAUGAAUUUGAAAGAUUUUUCCUGAUUCAGUGAGGAUACUUUAGCCUCGUGGUCUUAGUUUCUUCCAGGAGAUGGCCAACAGAUCUUGGUUCCAGUACAGUCUAUACUGGCUGAGUGAAGGAAAUCUAAUGAAGCAGCGUCUCAGCUUCCCUCUGUAAGAAUGCCUGUCCUCCAGCCCAUGUGAGAUCUGCCUCAAUACAGGCAAAAACCAAAGAACAAGGUGGUCAGACUCAGUGCUAACGCACAGUGCCUGCAGACUGGGGCUGCCUCAGCACUUCAAAGGGCAUCAGUGCCUCCAAGUAACAGACACUGCACAGGGAUUCAGCUGGAGCUACAAAUACCACACCACAAACAUGUAAAAAGAGUUUUUAUUGGUUAUAUACUGUAGAGCUGACAGUGUUUGAGUCAGGAGAGACAUGCAGAUAAAGUGUGUGUUUACAUUUGGCAUGCAGACUAAGAGCACUGCAUAACUAGGAGGUGAGCACCAUCUGUAUCCACUGCAUGGGCAGCCUGGGGAGGGAAGAGCUGGCUUCCCUCUACUGAGCAUGCUGAGAUGGGGAGGGGUUUGAGAGGGCGAAACAGUGCUCAUAGCUCUAUUGGACACAAAGUUUGUUUUAGGGAAAUAGGCAAUACUGUAACCCUGGAAAAUUUGCUUAACUUGGAUGAAUCUGUGAUUAUGAAAAGAUUUCUUGCAUUAUUUAUCUUCUAACUAAGCUGCCCCAGCCCAAAUAUAUGUCUGCAAAUACAAAAAAAAAAUAGAUUUAUUCUCUUAAAAAUACAUUCCAUGCAGCCUGGAGUGCUGCUUCCCCAAGGCAGGAGCCUGCACUGCAUGCUGGGCAGCCUAGGAAGAUGAUCCUUUGGGUCCGCAGGUUACUAACCAUCAGAGGCAAGCAAUGGCUUUGUGUCUCAUCACAUACAGAGCAGUCUGCUGGAGGCCGGCCUUGGGGCAGUGCUUUGACCACUCCAGUGAUGUGCAAGGGUGGCAGAGAUGAGGUCCACUAUAUUAGAGAUGACAUCAAUGUGACUAUUGCUUCAAUCUGCAGCUAGGAAAUUGCUCAUGUCGAGUGUCUCUUGAACCACCGAGGCACACCACCCUGCCCUGUGCUUCCUGCCCUCUUUGGGUCCUGGAUGUACCAUCUGAAGGCGGGCUGUGGGUCUCCCCUCAUCUGUGCCCAGUGUGCUGCGGUUUGACAGUGCACGGACUGGUGGGUGCACUCUGAAGCUGCCACCAUUCUGUGCAGCAGCAAGCUGCUGGCCCCUCCGGCUGGUGCCAGCCAUUCUGGGGAAAGCCACUGGCUCUCCAAAAGGGACCAGCAUCUCUGUUUUCUUGGGAGAAGCGAGCACUGACACACUGCCUCUGUACAGCAAAUACAUUUACAACUUUGAAAUUACCCGAGUGCUUGAUGCGCAGCCUCGUGGCAUCAUCAAGCCCAUUGAAAAGCCUGUUAUAUUUAUAUGCUAAAAUUACAAAUACUUCUUCAGUGGUGGCAAUAUUUACACAUAUACUCUAUUUUACAGCUGUUCAAAAAAGUGUGCAAUUUGAGUAAAACACAUUGUGUUUCCUGAAGUCAUUGCUAUAAGUUUAAUAAUACAAUCAGCUCCUAUUGCACUCAUGAUUAAAGGGCAUGGCCCCUUUCAAUUUUAAGGAGGGUUUUUCUUUCUCAGAUUUAAUCUCGGUUGUGGUAAGAACAACCCGGUGUACAGUUACUGCGUGACAUCUGUGUUCAUUACUUACAAGCAGUGAGACUGAGUUUAUGUGCUGUAAAAUAUUGAAUGACUGAGGCAGCUGGAGAAAGGAGAGCUGUCACCUGCUAGAUGCACCUGAGGAGAGCAGACAGUGACAGAAUUGCUGCAUUGCUGGGGCUCCUGCUGCAUGCUGUGAACUGGCUGAGCAGCAAGGUGAAGCCCUCCGGUUGCCCGUGGCUAAGGAAAGCCUGGUCCUGGCUGACAGAAGGGGAAAACCAACAGCUAUUGCUCCUGGUGGUUUUUCCCUUGUACUUCAGACAUAGGGUUGUGUUAUUGGGGUGAGCUGUGGGGAUGAAAAGCUGAUGGGUAAGCCAGAGUUUUGUGGGUAGGUAGAGGGAAGCCUGUGUUAACCCAGCACAACUUGUCGUAGGGAUGCAGAACUUUCCUGGCCAGGACUGAAACCACUUCUCUUGGAAGGAGCUUUGGAAGCACCAUGCUAAGCUGGAUCCAUGCCAAGAAUGUGAGGAGAGGGCUGGUGUAUGGGCACCCAAGUGUCCUGUGGGAUGUGGACCACUGUCCUGCAGCAGGAUGGGGCUCAUCACCGGGAAGAAAGCCAUACAGGUGCUGCUCAAAGUGAUCCUUGUCCUCUUCAGUGUCUAUGUGCUGUCCAGCUGUUUCUAAAACUAAGCUGCAAGUCCUGGGCAGCAGUGACACAGGUCAGGCCCUCCUGAAUAUGCUGCUUCUCUGUGAGACUGAACUGCAAUGCCAAGCAGUUGUCAGCAGCGGUUCUUCCACAGUGACUGUAACUGGGGAUGUAUUAUACUGGUGGAGAGCUGCUUAGCAGCAGGUUUGGGAAUAUAAACGGAGGUAAAUAAUUACCGUGAUGUCUGAAAAGUGGCAUUUG
Molecule: RNA transcript, 11704 nt
Organism: Egretta garzetta (little egret)
Lineage: Eukaryota; Metazoa; Chordata; Aves; Pelecaniformes; Ardeidae
Gene: KDM1A
Gene name: lysine demethylase 1A
Exons: 20
Source: RefSeq, a predicted model, not a curated record